GUUAUUUUUUAAUAAAAAAAUAUUCAGAAAAAUAAAAAUUGAGAGAAAAAAUUAAACAAGCUUUAUAAGGCAUUUUUUAUAUUUUUACAUAUACGUAUAAAAAUUUAUUGAUAUGUACAAGUCAUAUAUUUCUCAUGUUUUGUUAAUUAUCCAUCCAUCUCAAAGAAUGCAUUGGACUGUCAGAGUCUAGUGAAGAAGGACCAACCAUUCCAUAAGCCAGUGGAGAAAACAAGUAGAAGCUAUAUAAUGUGAAUAAAUAAUAUAUAAUUGCUCCGUUAAA
Long non-coding RNA from Bombus huntii, 280 nucleotides. RefSeq lists it as uncharacterized. The record is from RefSeq and is a predicted model, not a curated record. The transcript has 2 exons. Lineage: Eukaryota; Metazoa; Arthropoda; Insecta; Hymenoptera; Apidae.